RNAcentral lists this transfer RNA (72 nucleotides) under Candidatus Melainabacteria bacterium. RNAcentral describes it as "tRNA-Lys". It matches the Rfam family "tRNA". From Rfam's summary of the family: Transfer RNA (tRNA) molecules are approximately 80 nucleotides in length. Their secondary structure includes four short double-helical elements and three loops (D, anti-codon, and T loops). The record is from RNAcentral. Lineage: Bacteria; Bacillati; Candidatus Melainabacteria. RNAcentral also lists the same sequence under 3 other names.
GGGUCAUUAGCUCAACGGUAGAGCAGCUGCCUCUUAAGCAGUUGGUUGAUGGUUCGAAUCCAUCAUGACCCA